UUUCCGUAGGUGAACCUGCGGAAGGAUCAUUACCUAACAAAUUGUGAGGGGCAUGCGAGGGCUGUCGCUGACCCAAAAGUCUUCCACGCCCGAGUGUGUCCUCUUGCAUAAUAAUCCAUCUCACCCUUUGUGCAUCACCGCGUGGGCACCCUUCGGGAUCAUCUCGGAGGGGGGCUCGCGUUUUCACACAAACCCCCCUUUUAAAAGUGUAGAAUGACCACAUUUAUGAAAUCAAUACAACUUUCAACAACGGAUCUCUUGGCUCUC
This 267-nucleotide unclassified non-coding RNA is filed under the name plant metagenome. Its description in RNAcentral is "partial contains small subunit ribosomal RNA, internal transcribed spacer 1, and 5.8S ribosomal RNA". The record is from RNAcentral.